GGGCUGCAGUAUAUUGACUGUACAAAGGUAGCAUAAUCAUUAGUCAUUUAAUUGAUGACUUGUAUGAAAGAUUGGAUGAAAUAUAAGCUGUCUCUUUAUUAUUUAUAGAAUUUAAUUUUUUAAUUAAAAAGUUAAAAUAAAUUAAAAAGACGAGAAGACCCUAUAGAGUUUUAUAUUUAAAUUAAUUAAGAUUAUUUAUAAAUUUUUUAAUUAAAAUUAAUUUAUAUAUUUUGUUGGGGUGAUAAAAAAAUAAGAAUAACUUUUUUUUAAGAUUAACAUAUAUAAGUGAUUUAAUGAUCCAAUAUUAUUGAUUAUAAGAAAAAAUUACCUUAGGGAUAACAGCGUAAUUUUUUUUUUUAGUUCAAAUAAAAAAAAGAGUUUGCGACCUCGAUGUUGGAUUAAGAUAAAAUUUAAAUG
Molecule: ribosomal RNA, 417 nt
Filed under: Spodoptera ornithogalli (yellow-striped armyworm moth)
Lineage: Eukaryota; Metazoa; Arthropoda; Insecta; Lepidoptera; Noctuidae
Also listed under: 1 other name
Description: partial 16S ribosomal RNA
Source: RNAcentral